GUAGGGCGCAAGCGUUAUCCGGAAUUAUUGGGCGUAAAGAGCUCGUAGGCGGUUUGUCGCGUCUGCUGUGAAAGACCGGGGCUCAACUCCGGUUCUGCAGUGGGUACGGGCAGACUAGAGUGAUGUAGGGGAGACUGGAAUUCCUGGUGUAGCGGUGAAAUGCGCAGAUAUCAGGAGGAACACCGAUGGCGAAGGCAGGUCUCUGGGCAUUAACUGACGCUGAGGAGCGAAAGCAUGGGGAGCGAACAGGAUUAGAUACCCUGGUAGUCCAUGCCGUAAACGUUGGGCACUAGGUGUGGGGGACAUUCCACGUUUUCCGCGCCGUAGCUAACGCAUUAAGUGCCCCGCCUGGGGAGUACGGCCGCAAGGCUA
RNAcentral lists this ribosomal RNA (372 nucleotides) under uncultured bacterium. Its description in RNAcentral is "bacterial SSU rRNA". It matches the Rfam family "Bacterial small subunit ribosomal RNA", at positions 527 to 896 of the family's 1533-position model. The record is from RNAcentral.